GACGUAGGGUGCAAGCGUUGUUCGGAAUUACUGGGCGUAAAGCGAGUGUAGGCGGUUCGAUAAGUCGGAUGUGAAAGCCCCGGGCUCAACCCGGGAAGUGCACUCGAUACUGUCGAGCUAGAGUAUCGGAGAGGUUGGUGGAAUUCUCGGUGUAGAGGUGAAAUUCGUAGAUAUCGAGAGGAACACCGGUGGCGAAGGCGGCCAACUGGACGAAUACUGACGCUGAGACUCGAAAGCGUGGGGAGCAAACAGG
RNAcentral lists this ribosomal RNA (253 nucleotides) under uncultured bacterium. Its description in RNAcentral is "partial 16S ribosomal RNA". It matches the Rfam family "Bacterial small subunit ribosomal RNA", at positions 524 to 776 of the family's 1533-position model. The record is from RNAcentral.